Molecule: long non-coding RNA, 2193 nt
Filed under: Homo sapiens (human)
Lineage: Eukaryota; Metazoa; Chordata; Mammalia; Primates; Hominidae
Description: HSALNT0292852
Source: RNAcentral
CUGCCCCUUAUCAGGUGUUUAAGUAGUUAAUUCAUAACACUUCUCUUUCCCAUCUAAGUUUGAAACCAAUUAAAAGUAGACACAGAAGUGAGAGAUUGAAAAUAUUAGCUUUAUUUCUGGUGAAAGUUGAAUUAAAGACAUACAACCAAGUGGACUUGCUAAUAGUUGCUGAGCUAGUCAGAUUUACCUACCCAGCCAUAGGCAGCACUAAACAGGUGCAUAUCUCACCCACAGGUAUAGAGCAUAUUUUGCUAAGUCGUAGCAUGGUGGAGACUGCAAACCAGAAUGUAUCCUCUCUGCAAGCAGUCAUGCCCAAAAUGUACAAGAGUGGCUAAUCCACAAAUGCCCAAUUCCCUCUUCCAAACUCUUCAAUCAGAUAAGUCACUCUCCUGCCCUCAGUGGAGGGGGUGGGGGGAAAGGAAGAAGCUCACAUCUUCUUCUAAUAAAAAUUCCUCACCAUGGAAACAUGUUGAGUAGGAAAUAAAUAUUUCCCUGCCUAGCACUUACUAGUUCAGCUCUAUAAGAAUAAAAAAGCACUAGACACACACAUACAAACACACACACACACACACACACACACACACACACACACACAUUUGGAGAUUUCCCAAUCCGAAGUGAGGUAAUUCUAGGAGGGCCUAGAUGAUAGAAAAUCUAGAGGAGGAACUCCCCACAAAGAAGUAUCUAACUGAGAUAAUCUUCUUACAGGACUAAGCACAUUUUCUGGCAUGUGGUAAGUGGUCAAUUCGUCUUCUAAGCUCCUAUCAUCAUCAUCAUGGCUGUUGUUCUAUACUUAUCUAUAAUUCCCUUUCUGUAUGAAAACACAAAACAAAUAAGAGCAAAUCUAUUAGAAUGAAUUCCUGGCCAAGUCUUGUCCAGAGGACAGAAACAAUUUACAUUUCAUAGCACUGUUAAGUUUUCCAAAGCAAUUAAACAUAUAUCACUUGAUUCUCAGAACAAACCUGGUAAGGCAGAUAUUACAAUGGAAAUUGCAUCUUGUGCAGGAGUUAGACUCUAAAGAAACAUGUAAGGUAAAACUCAAAUAUAAUAAAAAUUAGCCACAAAAUUUUUUAAAUUUGCCUGUACAGUAUACAAGCAUACCAUAUCUCCAUUAAUCUAAAUAGCUAGCUUUUCCUUUGGUUGAGCUAUAGAUGUAAUAGCUAAUUUGCAACCUGGGCAACAUAGCGAGAUUCUGUCUCUACAAAAAUUAGCCCGGUGUGGCAGUGCACAUGUAUUGUCCCAGCUACUUGGGAGGAUUGUUUGUCUGGGAGGUUGAGGCUGCAGUGAGCCAUGAUCAUGCCACUGCACUCUAGCUUGGGUGACAGAGUGAGACUCUGUCAAAAGAAAUGAAUGAAAGAAAGAAAGUAAAGAAAGAAAGAAAGAAAGAAAGAAAGAAAGAAAGAAAGAAAGAAAGAAAGAAAAGAAAAGAAAGAAGAAAGAAAGAAAGAAAGAGGGAAGGGAAGGGAAGGAAGGAAAAAGAAAAAAAGAAAUAGCUGACUUGCAUUUAGAGGCUAUAUUGCACAAAAAUUGAGGGUAGUAUAUUUAAACACCAACACUUUUGGCAGCAAGAUACCCACAUUGUAAAAAGUAUAAGAGAGCCAAGUGCAGUGGUUCACACCUGUAACCCCAGCACUUUGGGAGGCUGAGGCAGGUGGAUCACCUGAGGUCAGGAGUUCGAGACCAGCCUAGCCAAUAUGGUGAAACCCCAUCUCUACUAAAAAAUUCAAAAAACUGGCCAGGCUUGGUGGUGGGUGCCUGUAAUCCCAGCUAAUUGGGAGGCUGAGGCAGGAGAAGUGCUUGAACCUGGGAGGCGGAGGUUGCAGUGAGCCGAGAUCGCGCCAUUGCACUCCAGCCUGGGCCACAAGAGCGAAACUCCAUCUCAAAAAAAAAAAAAAAGAAAGAAAGAAAGAAAGAAAAGGAUAAGAGAACUGACACUAACUAUGGAAACAGCAAUUUGUGCCACCCUUGCCUCACUUCCCUGCAUCUCAUGCCCAUUAAGUAGAAUUCAGGGUAGCUUCACAUUUAAGUGGAUUUUCAUUCUCUCUCUCUCUUAUUUUUUUUAUUUAUUUUUUCUUUAGUUUUCUGGUGAGAGCUGGAAAACCUGCUAGACUAAUUCUAAAAGAGCUGUAACACUGCUUUUUAAAUGAUGUUUGGUUUAAUGGGAGUAAGCUAAACAGAUAUGUAAUAUGUCUC